GACGAACGCUGGCUGCGUGCUUAACACAUGCAAGUCGAACGCUGAAGCCGACAGCUUGCUGUUGGUGGAUGAGUGGCGAACGGGUGAGUAACACGUGAGUAACCUGCCCCUGAUUUCGGGAUAAGCCUGGGAACCGGGUCUGAUACCGGAUACGACCAUCCCUCGCAUGAGGGUUGGUGGAAAGUUUUUCGAUCAGGGAUGGGCUCGCGGCCUAUCAGCUUGUUGGUGGGGUAAUGGCCUACCAAGGCGACGACGGGUAGCCGGCCUGAGAGGGCGACCGGCCACACUGGGACUGAGACACGGCCCAGACUCCUACGGGAGGCAGCAGUGGGGAAUAUUGCACAAUGGGGGAAACCCUGAUGCAGCGACGCAGCGUGCGGGAUGACGGCCUUCGGGUUGUAAACCGCUUUCAGCAGGGAAGAAGCGAAAGUGACGGUACCUGCAGAAGAAGUACCGGCUAACUACGUGCCAGCAGCAGCCGCAG
Molecule: ribosomal RNA, 484 nt
Filed under: uncultured bacterium
Lineage: Bacteria
Description: partial 16S ribosomal RNA
Rfam family: Bacterial small subunit ribosomal RNA
Source: RNAcentral